RNAcentral lists this ribosomal RNA (336 nucleotides) under Triticum aestivum (bread wheat). RNAcentral's name for it is "partial small subunit ribosomal RNA". The record is from RNAcentral. Lineage: Eukaryota; Viridiplantae; Streptophyta; Magnoliopsida; Poales; Poaceae.
AUGAGGCCCCGGUUGCGGCCGGCGUUGGAUUUCGUUUUGCAGUCCACGAGCUUCUGCUCGGAUAGAGACAUGAGGUUCUUAUUGCAGAUCCCGUUGAUGCCCUCCACGGCCAUGAUCGUCGACAAAGCCCAGCAAAUGCAGCACUACCCCUGGUCAUUGACGGUGGUCACCGUGCCCUUCUGCCGCCAGUCCACCGACGGCGGCGGCGCUGCCGUGCAUGAAACUGCCACCACCCUCCUUACGGCUGAACAUGCGGUGGUGAGAGACUCGGGAGGAGGCGUUGGCGCGGCGGAACUCGGACUUGCUCCCGCUUUAAACAGACGCCGAUGUGGCUAA